RNAcentral lists this ribosomal RNA (265 nucleotides) under uncultured prokaryote. RNAcentral describes it as "partial 16S ribosomal RNA". It matches the Rfam family "Bacterial small subunit ribosomal RNA", at positions 524 to 788 of the family's 1533-position model. The record is from RNAcentral.
UACGGAGGAUCCGAGCGUUAUCCGGAUUUAUUGGGCGUAAAGGGAGCGUAGGCGGACUUUUAAGUGAGAUGUGAAAUACCCGGGCUCAACUUGGGUGCUGCAUUUCAAACUGGAAGUCUAGAGUGCAGGAGAGGAGAAUGGAAUUCCUGGUGUAGCGGUGAAAUGCGUAGAGAUUAGGAAGAACACCAGUGGCGAAGGCGAUUCUCUGGACUGUAACUGACGCUGAGGCUCGAAAGCGUGGGGAGCAAACAGGAUUAGAUACCCU